UGUCGCAGCGCUCAAGGAGCACGGUGG
RNAcentral lists this small RNA (27 nucleotides) under Bombyx mori (domestic silkworm). Its description in RNAcentral is "ovarian small RNA-282". Lineage: Eukaryota; Metazoa; Arthropoda; Insecta; Lepidoptera; Bombycidae. The record is from RNAcentral.